CCAGUACCUGCAUCAUGAGUCAUGACCAUUCUGGAGGCGCUGUCCUCUCUCCCUGUGUGUCACCGGCUGUCUGCAAGCAGUCAUCCCCCCCUUUUUGUAUUUAUGUCUGUUAUCCCCAUUCAGUCAGUGCUUAGUUGUCAGUCUGCCUAGUCUGUUUUCUUCUGAGCCGCUACUUGUCGUAGUUAAACUUAUGCCUGUCUGUUUUUGUUUAGAGUAAGCCAGAGCACUCUUUCUCAGUGCUCUUCUGUACCUGCCUGCCUUCUGCUGUUGUACAAUAAAUACCCCUGAUUUGGGUUUACGCUU
Anguilla anguilla (European eel) is the source of this 303-nucleotide long non-coding RNA. RefSeq lists it as uncharacterized. NCBI's taxonomy places the organism in Eukaryota, Metazoa, Chordata, Actinopteri, Anguilliformes, Anguillidae. The transcript has 2 exons. The record is from RefSeq and is a predicted model, not a curated record.